Long non-coding RNA from Esox lucius (northern pike), 329 nucleotides. RefSeq lists it as uncharacterized. Lineage: Eukaryota; Metazoa; Chordata; Actinopteri; Esociformes; Esocidae. The transcript has 3 exons. The record is from RefSeq and is a predicted model, not a curated record.
GUCAGUCUGCAAUCGCGGUACUUUGAUUCCCGCAAUGCUUGAGCUCUACAAUAAACACGUGUGCGGUGAGUUGUUCUGCCCUAAUUGCUCAAUGAAUUUGAACAUUUUGAGUUUCCAAAGAUCAUAUACGUCGGUUCGCGCCCGUUCACCUUUUGCUACAUGAUAUGAGAUGAAGUACAAGAAGUAUCUCUUGGAGAACAAAGACAUUCCACGAACAACACAGCAUCGCUGGAGAAGACGAACCCACCAUGUUGGAGUCCGUGUACCUCAAAAUGCUGUCUUUGAUGUGUUACAGCAAGACCCAGCUUUGUUUGACAUGCAUAUCAAGC